UAGAUAUCCGAGCCGUCAGUCGGACUUUGGGACAAUUAGCAAUCAGUCAAGCGUCGUCGGCUCGUCAACGUGAAGAGGAUCUGCGAAUCAAGCAGCGCCAAGCGGAGGAACAGAGUCGGCUUAGCUUAAGAGAUUGUGUAUACGUUUUGGAGGAAGAGGAUGAAGACGGCCUUGGUGCAGUUGGGGAUGAUGCGAAGGAUUUAUAUUCCAACGGCGGAGGUGGAGUUCUAG
RNAcentral lists this unclassified non-coding RNA (231 nucleotides) under Hevea brasiliensis (rubber tree). Lineage: Eukaryota; Viridiplantae; Streptophyta; Magnoliopsida; Malpighiales; Euphorbiaceae. The record is from RNAcentral.